This 920-nucleotide ribosomal RNA is filed under the name uncultured archaeon. RNAcentral's name for it is "bacterial SSU rRNA". It matches the Rfam family "Archaeal small subunit ribosomal RNA", at positions 1 to 922 of the family's 1478-position model. The record is from RNAcentral.
UUUCCGGUUGAUCCUGCCGGAGGUUACUGCUAUCGAGAUUCGACUAAGCCAUGCGAGUUGAAUGUUCUUCGUGAACAUGGCGGACUGCUCAGUAACACGUGGACAACCUACCCUCGGGUCCGGCAUAAUCCUGGGAAACUGGGGAUAAUUCCGGAUAGGUCACCGAUGCUGGAAUGCGCGGCGGUCCAAAGCUCCGGCGCCCGAGGAUGGGUCUGCGGCCUAUCAGGGUUGUAGUGGGUGUAACGUACCUACUAGCCUACGACGGGUACGGGUUGUGAGAGCAAGAGCCCGGAGAUGGAUUCUGAGACACGAAUCCAGGCCCUACGGGGUGCAGCAGGCGCGAAAACUUUACAAUGCGGGAAACCGUGAUAAGGGAAUCUCGAGUGCCAGCAUAUAAUGUUGGCUGUCCAGAUGCCUAAAAAGCAUCUGUUAGCAAGGGCCGGGCAAGACCGGUGCCAGCCGCCGCGGUAACACCGGCGGCCCGAGUGGUAACCGCUAUUAUUGGGUCUAAAGGGUCUGUAGCCGGCCAGGUAAGUCCCUUGGGAAAUCUGGCAGCUCAACUGUCAGGCUGCUAGGGGAUACUGUUUGGCUUGGGACCGGGAGAGGUGAGAGGUACCUUGGGGGUAGGGGUGAAAUCUUGUGAUCCUCGGGGGACCACCAGUGGCGAAGGCGUCUCACCAGAACGGGUCCGACGGUAAGGGACGAAAGCUAGGGGCACGAACCGGAUUAGAUACCCGGGUAGUCCUAGCCGUAAACGAUGCUCGCUAGGUGUCAGUCACGGUGCGACCGUGAUUGGUGCCGUAGGGAAGCCGUGAAGCGAGCCACCUGGGAAGUAUGGCCGCAAGGCUGAAACUUAAAGGAAUUGGCGGGGGAGCACUACAACGGGUGGAGCCUGCGGUUUAAUUGGAUUCAACGCCGGA